Harpia harpyja (harpy eagle) is the source of this 5702-nucleotide long non-coding RNA. RefSeq lists it as uncharacterized. The record is from RefSeq and is a predicted model, not a curated record. The transcript is spliced from 3 exons. NCBI's taxonomy places the organism in Eukaryota, Metazoa, Chordata, Aves, Accipitriformes, Accipitridae.
CACGUGCCAGUUGGUACUUGGCUGCGUUGCAGCUAUGAAAAAGUGAGAAGUGCAAGAAAACUUGAGGGUACAUCCAAGGAGGAAGGAGCACAGACACACUUUAUAAGGAGGAAGAAGCACAGACACACUCUCAAGAAUUGUGUGUUGCUUUCUACAGCGCAAGAAGAGUAGAACUGAGGAAGAGGAGAAUGAAGUUUGAGGAAAUAUCAUCAGGAGGAGGAAUUGGGGGAAUCCCUAGCCUGGGGAUGGUUGGCAGGAAUAUGAGAGAGAAAAGAUCUGGGACAAAGGAAGCGGAAGCUUUAAGAGAAUCAAAGACCAAAUCAAGCAAGAAAAGUGAGGAGGUGGCAAAUGAAACUUUACUAGCUGUACAAGAAGACAAGUGCUUUCCAUUGUAAGAGAAUGGUGGCUGCUCUCAUUUGUAACCAUGACAUAGGUUCAACAGCAGAAACUGACUGUUUUGGACAGGAUUUACUUUUGAAAGUCUGAAGCCACAUUUCACUGCGAAAGAGGGGAAGGGACAUGGGUAAGUAACAUGUUCUUAUUUGCAGAUAUUAUGGCUUUGAAACUAUCCAUUUUGUGUCCCUGGAAGCAUAAUAAUUUCAUAGCAAGAACAUCCGUAACACAAUCAGCUUACCUUGAAUUUUUUUUUAAAGUUAGUAUCUGUAGUGAAUAGUAUCGCUGUUUUAUAGCUGGGGAAACUGGCAAGAUAGGUGCCAUGACUUGACACUGUAAGUAAUGUGAUAUCCUAAGUCCCAUCCCAGUACAUUACUGUCAGCCCUUUUGUCCUAUUUAAUCAUGUCUUUUAUGAUAAAAAUACUGGAAUAAUGUUUCCCUUUGGAAAUGUUUUGAGGAAAUAACCUCAUAAUAAAUGAUACUGCAGUAAUUUAUCCUUUGCGUUUAGCAGAAUAAUCAUUGGCAUGACUCGGUGGCUACACAGGGAAAGAACAGGUCACCGGUACCAAAUAUCCCACAAUUUUUAAACUGUGCUGCUGGUAUUAACAAUAACAACAUUGACUAUGGCAAAUGAUUCUGCAAAUGAUUCUGUCUUUUUUCUUUCCAUUGAAUUUAAAAUAUUCAGUAGCACUCUGAGAAGCUGUGAAAUCUGCAGGGCUUUUUAACCUGAAAUUCAUGCUUUGCAUCUGAAAUCUGGUUUCUAAGCCUCAUGUAUUCAGGUAAACAGAAAUAUUGAUUUUCUUGGCCUCCCUCUGUUCAGGUUGCUCAUAUUAGCAGAGUUGUGCAUGUAUCACUGUACAAAAACGUUUAGGACAUUUCCUGUAGUUUCAUACUCGGGGCUAGUUUUGAGAAACUAACUUGUUUUAACAGUUAUUUCUUCUUUGUGAACCAUGAAGUAAGAAGAUAUUGGUCUAACGGCAGAAACUGUAAGUGUACCAAGUCUCUUCCUUUGGGCAAAAGGGGGAAAAAAGUAUUGCCUCAAAAAGGCAAGCUAUUUCAAGCUUGCUGUGUCCUCACUUCCCUAAAUAGCUCUCUCUCUUCUUUGACGUUCUUCUGUAAGCACACGCUAUUAGGUUUUAUUGAAAUUUUUAAAUAAUCAGCUGGGAGCAGCUACUGAUGUAAAAUGAAUAUAGCAAAGCUAAAUGUCAGACUGUAUAGAAGGGAGGUGAUUUUAUUUCAAACAAAACUGAUUUCAGUCACUCACGCUCAUUCUCCUAUAGAUUUCAUUUAGUCAGUCUUUCAUACUUCUUUUCCAUACCCACAUUGUAACAAGGAUGAAGAUGUGUAUGUCUGGCUAGUCCAACCAGGAUUAUCUGUGGUGAAACAGAGGACAAAGGAUGCCAGAUUUGGAGUCACCAUCAUGUUUCCUGCAUUCUUGUUGCUGGGUGACCAUGUGCUCAUUUUGGAAGUGCCUUUUGUACUCUUCAGGGACCCAGGUCCAUGAGUCAUUAAGCAAUGUUGUUGAUUGACUGCCUGUCCUUCUUUCUCCUGUGAGUUGUCUAUCUUUAGUUUUAGGCUGUCCUUUGUUUUCCCAGUCUGUGUGUUUCAAGAAUCUGACUGUGAUCUCAAUGACCUGCUGGUGCUGUCAAGCCAAGCCAUUCUUUUGUCCCUUCUUAUCUUGUCAUUUCUUCUGGUGCUUUCAUACGUGUUUCUGAGUGUAAUUUGUUCAUUUCAACCUGAAUGUUUCUAUUACAAAUCUCUGCAUUAUGAAGUACAUCAGGUCACACAAAUGAGCUAAACGAGGGAAGUACAGUGUCUCAAACAGGUGACGAGCUAUAGAGAGGAUCCUGGGCUAAGUGCUGUAGCUGUCACACUGAAAUUACAUUUGGAGGCAGUUUUGUGCUGGUCAUUCUGACAGAACAGCAUUAAUUACCAAUGAAAGUGCACCAGUGUAAACUAGCUGACUCACUUGUUAAGGCAUGAGGGGUACUUGGGUUUUUUGGUGACUUUUUGGUCACCAAACUCAAUGCUAUGAACACUUUUGGAAGGAGGACAGUGAGAUGAACCCUCUGGAAUGACUAUAAGUAUAUUAGUGCUCUUUUGUAUACUAUUGCUCCACUGAGCGUUACCCAAUAAUAACAACAGUGCUAAUACAGGCUUUUGUAAGAGGAGUACCUGAAUUUAGGUACCGGUAACUUUGAGAGGGUCUACACUGUACUUUCAUCUAUGGAUCUGGUUUUGGUUGAAUAAUGGCCUAUGGUUCCUGGAAGCUCAUUAAAUGUCAUCCAUCUUGUAGGUAGUUAAAAGAUUGAGACAACUAGGGGUUAAGCAUGUUUAUAUGAGGGUUUGAGAGAGAAUAACGAAUAGUAGAAUAAUACUGAACCAGAAUAAAAACAAUGUUUUAUGGAGGAUGUUGCAGGUGAGUAUAAGAUGAUGCUCCUCCCUGUCUAAUAACCAAAGGUUAACUGCUGUAUUUAAUGUUUCCAAAAUUUUAACCCUGUAGUGCAUGAUGGUGAGUGAUGUAUUAGGACUUUUCCUUUGAGGGAAACAAAACAAAACAAAACAAACCACCACCACGCUAAAGCAAAAAGAACAUGCAUAAAUUUAACAGCAUCUCAGUUAAAAUGAAAUGUAAAGUGUAUUUUUUUGUUAUAGAGAUGGAGCCAAUGACAGCAAAUGUUAAAAGAUAACAGGCAGAAGAUCCAUGAAUAGGUUUAGCAGACCCCUGAUAUCACCAGAAGCUCCUACAGAAGGAAGCGUUCCAGCCUGGAACUAAGAUAACUAUUGAUAACAAUUGUUUGUUAUUGCCAUCUCCCACUUGCACCCUGUUGCUGUAUCUUGCUUACCUUUGCUUUGGAUGGUUCUGUUUGUAGUCUUACAUACAUAUGUUAAAACAGAAAGAUACCAUGCUUAGUUUUUAGAUUGUCAUGGCUGAAGUUGAAGACACCAGACAAAUAUAAACAAGCUAAAGUAAUAAAAUCAAAUAGAUCCAAUUGAAAGCUACCUCCAUCUCCAAACAAUAGAAACCAAGUUUCUCCUGGUGAUUAGGAGAAUAGCUCACCAACAUGUACUGCAAAGACUGUAUAUGUAACAUGAAGUAUGAUACAUACACAUAUAUUUUUGUGUGAUGAAGCAUUAUCUUUUAAAAGCUACAAGGCACCAAGUUAUUAUCCUGGGUAGAUGGUUGUCAACUGACCGAGGCUACGGAAGAGGAAGUGGGAGAACUAUCUAAAUUAUAAAGUUGAGAGGUCAAUUUCAGUAAGGCUCAAUUAGUGUUACCCCAGGAAUUGUAACUGGGGAAAUGGGAAGACAGAUAGGUAGAAGAAAGAUUAAAGCUUUAUGUGGAAUAAAAGUUUCUUCUUCUCAACUCCAAUUUAAAGCAGCUUUAGGAGAAUUUAAUUUUUCACAGCAGUGCAAGGUAACUGCUGGUAUCAGCAGACUGCGAUGAAAAUUACUGGAAAGGAUUGGAAUAGAGCUGGAACAAGGAACAUGCUGCUGCUUUCACUAAAUUUAAAUAAGCAGUUGUAAAAACUCCUGCCUUAAAAUUCCUGAGACAAGGAAAGCCUUUUACAAUAAGGAUUUUCACAUUCACUGAUACUAUGGGAGGGGCACUGUUACAAAGCAGAAGUGAGUGAAAGUGAGUACCAAUAGCAUUGGAACUGCGUUACUUUGGGGUUGGAUCAAGACUUCAUCCGCUCUGAGAGAGACUGUUUAGUAGCAGUCUGGACUAUAGCAGUCUUUCGCCCUUGAUAGCCUGGUUGCAAUCCAGUCUGCUUACACCCUCCUGAAGUACUUAAUUUCAGGGAAAUGAGUAGGCAGCAGAGUACUAUCCACCCAAGUGGCACAGUGGGCACUAAUAUUAACAUAUAGGGAUUACUGUACAGGCGUUAUAAGAAGUGGAUCAUCUCGCUUGUGCACUACCUGAACAACGGGCAGAGCACAGUUAUAUCCAAAAUGUGGACACAAAGUUCCAGAAAAAUCAGUCUCUAAAGGCUUCUUAGGCUAACCUAACUAUUCCUCUUCCUCUUGUAUGAGAAGUCCAAAUAUAAUCCUAUUCUGCCCCUAAAAUGGGGCGAGUGGGAGGUGUAUUUGUGGCUUGUAUAUUCUCAUUUACCUUGCUUGUACAUAUUAGAUUGGCCUAUAAACUUAUAUACUACCUUUAUUUUUUAAUGUUUUUCUGCAGAACAUUGAUUUUUGCUUCCUUUAUGUUUCUGUAGGGUGAUGGAUUUGCUACGUCUCCAUCACGAAGUGCUGACAAACUUACAAUGCUGUAUGCAGAGAGUCCGAGUUGAGACUGAGGAGUUGAGAUACGUGGAAGAAUAUCGCUUAGGAGCAGUUGCUAGCCUUGAUUGAGCGAUAGGCACUGGUGAGUACAGCUGAUUUUGUCUGACUUGAACAGGUUUAUUGCAGUUGCAGAAAUGUUUAGUCUGGCUUUAACAUCCUACAGUAAUGACAUAUAUGUGUUUAUAAAUUGCAUUUACCCUAGAACAUUAGGGAAUGACCACACACUGCCACAAAGAACUACAGGCUAUUACUUGCAGACCUUUAUGAGCUAUCACAAGGCAAGAGCAGUCAGGAGAAUGCAAACAAACACCUGCACAAAGGCCCUGGGAGCUUUGAGCUGUAACUCAAAACUUCCACCAACCCCCAAACUCAUCCAGCCCUGCCCCAAAGCUUCCAACUGCCCCCAGGCGCUAUCCAAACCCUGCCCCAAAGCGCCCAUCAGCACUAAAACAUGCCACAGCCUGACGCAGGGUCCCCAGAGCUCCCAGUGGCCACCCAACAGUACCCAAGCCUUGUCCCAAAACUCCCACUGGCCCUCGAUCACCCCAGGACACGGGAGACUCCCGGAGGCAUUCGGGACACCGGAGGCCCGGCCGGGGAGCGGGGACAGCUCGCAGUCCCCUCAGCCCGGCCCGCACGCCCCCUCCCCACCCCGUCCCUCUGGCCAAUCGGUGUGCGGUUCCGCGCAGACCAACGGAAAGCUGACGCCGUGCUGCACGCAGAGGUCUCGUGCAGGCGGAGUGCGGCCGCCCGUGCUGCGCUGCUGCCACCUCUCCGCUACGGCCCAGUACUGCGUGUGCCCGGGACACGCCUAUGGGCACAGCUGCCUACCGUGCUUGCUGCUGCCCUCUGGUGGGCAGCCUGCAGUACUGCAGCCAGUUGAGGGACGCAUGCGCACAGCAGCCCGCAGUGGUCCCGGCUGCCUCCUGUUGAUCUCAAUCCAGUAGUGCAGACAACAAACUCGCGCAAGCGCAGUUUGAAAGCGGUCGCUCUCCUCCGCUGCCUUCCCGUGCUCCUCGCGGGGG